RNAcentral lists this ribosomal RNA (459 nucleotides) under uncultured bacterium. RNAcentral describes it as "partial 16S ribosomal RNA". It matches the Rfam family "Bacterial small subunit ribosomal RNA", at positions 338 to 795 of the family's 1533-position model. The record is from RNAcentral.
CCUACGGGAGGCAGCAGUGAGGAAUAUUGGUCAAUGGGCGCGAGCCUGAACCAGCCAAGUCGCGUGAGGGAAGACGGUCCUAUGGAUUGUAAACCUCUUUUGUCGGGGAGCAAAAGACGCCAUGUGUGGCGUUCCGUGAGUACCCGAAGAAAAAGCAUCGGCUAACUCCGUGCCAGCAGCCGCGGUAAUACGGAGGAUGCGAGCGUUAUCGGGAUUUAUUGGGUUUAAAGGGUGCGCAGGCGGAAGAUCAAGUCAGCGGUAAAAUUGAGGGGCUCAACCUCUUCGAGCCGUUGAAACUGGUUUUCUUGAGUGAGCGAGAGGUAUGCGGAAUGCGUGGUGUAGCGGUGAAAUGCGUAGAUAUCACGAAGAACUCCGAUUGCGAAGGCAGCAUACCGGCGCUCAACUGACGCUCAUGCACGAAAGUGUGGGUAUCGAACAGGAUUAGAUACCCGGGUAGUC